RNAcentral lists this small RNA (834 nucleotides) under Pan troglodytes (chimpanzee). Its description in RNAcentral is "retained intron". Lineage: Eukaryota; Metazoa; Chordata; Mammalia; Primates; Hominidae. The record is from RNAcentral.
UGCAGUCGUUAAUCAAAGGACAGCAGCAGCCACUGACACCGGGCCUGUCUGUGGACCGAGUGCUCAUGCGCGGCACUGCCUCACCCGCGUCUGUCCUGCUGGGGGCCGGAGCUGGCCUGGUGCGGGGGUCCAGGUCACCGUCACUGUUCCCCCACUGAGCCCCCGCUCCUCCUCUGCGGUGAGAUGCCGGAGCUGUGGCGGAGCGAGGAGGAGUGGGCUCAGAGCCUCCGGGGAGCCACUGGGAGCCCCAGCCUGGGUUUAAAUGAGGGUGCUCCUGGCCGCCAGAGCCGUGGAGCCUGCCGCUGACCGCGCGUGUCUCCCCAGAGGAUGACGGCCGAGGCGCACCGGCGCGUGGUGGUGGAGUACCUGCGGGCGGUCAUGCAGAAGCGCAUUUCCUUCCGGAGCCCGGAGGAGCGCAAGGAGGGUGCCGAGAAGAUGGUUCGGGAGGCAGAGCAGCUGCGCUUCCUGUUCCGGAAGCUGGCGUCCGGUUUCGGGGAAGGCGUGGACGGAUACUGCGACACCAUCGUGGCUGUGGCCGAAGUGAUCAAGCUGACAGACCCUUCUCUGCUCUACCUGGAGGUCUCCACUCUGGUCAGCAAGUAUCCAGACAUCAGGUAAGGGAUGCACGUCUUAGAAUCCUGGAGUGGAGCGGCAGGUCCCUCCUUCUGUCUGGGGCGGGUGGGGCUCCUGGUUCGCAAGUUCAGCCCUGCAGCACGGCAAGGGUUCAGGUGCGGCACAGCGGGGCCCAGGCGCGGGGAGCAGAGCGGCUUCUGUGCUGCCUUCCGCCUGGCCUGGGCUACAGUGUGGGUGGGUGGAGCUCGAGGGGCACACCCC